RNAcentral lists this ribosomal RNA (491 nucleotides) under uncultured bacterium. RNAcentral's name for it is "partial 16S ribosomal RNA". It matches the Rfam family "Bacterial small subunit ribosomal RNA", at positions 29 to 506 of the family's 1533-position model. The record is from RNAcentral.
AGUGAACGCUGGCGGUAGGCCUAACACAUGCAAGUCGAACGGCAGCACAGUAAGAGCUUGCUCUUACGGGUGGCGAGUGGCGGACGGGUGAGGAAUACAUCGGAAUCUACUUUUUCGUGGGGGAUAACGUAGGGAAACUUACGCUAAUACCGCAUACGACCUACGGGUGAAAGCAGGGGAUCUUCGGACCUUGCGCGAUUGAAUGAGCCGAUGUCGGAUUAGCUAGUUGGCGGGGUAAAGGCCCACCAAGGCGACGAUCCGUAGCUGGUCUGAGAGGAUGAUCAGCCACACUGGAACUGAGACACGGUCCAGACUCCUACGGGAGGCAGCAGUGGGGAAUAUUGGACAAUGGGCGCAAGCCUGGUCCAGCCACACCGCGUGGGUGAAGAAGGCCUUCGGGUUGUAAAGCCCUUUUGUUGGGAAAGAAAAGCAGCAGGUUAAUACCCCGCUGUUCUGACGGUACCCAAAGAAUAAGCACCGGCUAACUUCGU